Humulus lupulus (European hop) is the source of this 477-nucleotide long non-coding RNA. RefSeq lists it as uncharacterized. Lineage: Eukaryota; Viridiplantae; Streptophyta; Magnoliopsida; Rosales; Cannabaceae. The record is from RefSeq and is a predicted model, not a curated record. The transcript is spliced from 5 exons.
CUUCCUUUUGCUGCUGCUCAAAUUGGCCAGGCUUUUAGAAAUGAGAAUCAAUCAUGGUUGGGUUCCCUUAUCAACACUAUAGUUGGAAAUUUGAAACUCUCAAUUUCAAAUAUUCAUAUCAGAUACGAGGGCAGUGAAAGCAAUCAUGGUCACCCAUUUGCAGCAGGUGUGACCUUGGAGAAGCUCUUAGCUUCCUUCUGAGUGGGUCCAGGUUUUUAGAUAUGGCACUGAAGAAGGCAAACCUGCUGAUAGAAUUGUCAAACAACACACUUAUAUUCUGGAACCAAUUACAGGAAAUGCAAAGUAUAUUCUGGAUGAUGUCAUUCUCUGUUUAUCAAAGGAUGGAUACAAAGAUAUGUUAAAACUAGCUGAUAAGUUUUCUGCCUUUAAUCAACGCUUAAAAUAUGCGCAUUUUCGUCCACAUGUUUCCGUGAAAUCUGAUCCUCGUUCUUGGUGGAAGUAUGCUUAUAGAGCUGU